RNAcentral lists this long non-coding RNA (1874 nucleotides) under Homo sapiens (human). RNAcentral describes it as "HSALNT0156398". Lineage: Eukaryota; Metazoa; Chordata; Mammalia; Primates; Hominidae. The record is from RNAcentral.
GGAGGAACUCAGGCGGAGGAAAGAGCCGGAACACAAACACAGCGCGACCUUUCCCGGGAAGCAGCCCCUCCAGGAAUGCGCCCCGGGCCCCCCUGCAGCGCCCUGGGCCCCCAUGGCCAGGGGCAGAUCCCCUCACUUCCACCAUCCGUGACUCGGUUCAGUCCAGUUGAGCCCCAAAAGCCUCUGCUGAGCCCAGCCCGGAAGGGCGAGGGAGCCUCGGUGGCCAGAGAGGGCCGAGGCCUGUCAGGCUGACGGCUCCUUCGGGACAGGCACCCAUCUGUGACGGGGACAUGCAGGGACCACUGUGGCUGCCCUGGCCCAAGAUGCCCCAGAAGCCAGAAUGGAAAGAUAACUCCGCCUUCCUGCUGACGUGAGGUUCAGGUUGGUUUCUCAUCAUCGGUUGGGGGCUGAAUGACACACGCGGCUGCCGUCAUGAUGUGUGUGUGGUGAUGCUGCCACGGGCGUCACCCCGUAAGCAGCAGCUCCGAUCAAUUCUCCUUUGCGAGGUGACCACCAAAGGAGCGCAGAGCUGGCCGGGCAUUCGUGCGUGUUCAUGACCAAGAACUUUUCACAGAGAGAGAGAGGACUUCUGUCCUGACGAAGGGGCGCAGAGCUGGCCGGGGCAUUCGUGCGUGUUCACGACCGAGAACUUUUCACAGAGAGAGAGAGGACUUCUGUCCUGAUGAAGGAGCGCAGAGCUGGCCGGGGGCAUUCGUACAUGUUCAUGACCGAGAACUUUUCACACAGAGAGAGGACUUCUGACCUGACAAAGGAGCGCAGAGCUGGCCGGGGCAUUCGUGCGUGUUCACGACCGAGAACUUUUCACAGAGAGAGGACUUCUGUCCUGAUAGACGUCGGUGAGGACUGAAUCCCCACUUACAGGCGUGCACAUCAGGGACUGAUGGACAUCGCUGAGGACCGAUCCCAGCUUACAGGCGUGCACACUGGAGGCUCGGAAGAGCUGACUGUGACUCACUUCCGGCUUCCCCCCAGGACAAAACCUGCCUCUCCUUCCAGACUCGCUGACUUCCCUUCAUGUCCCGCUGUGAUGUGCAGUCCAGCAUCCUUGGGUCAUGACACCAGCUGCACUGGCACAGGGAAUGAGAGAAUAUUCCUGAAAAUGAAGACUACCGCGGAAGGCAGGAGCUUCUAAGCUAGAGUGACUGGCAGCUUCAACAGGCCCUGCUGCACCUGAACCAGCCCGGGGCCCCCCAGUGCCGCGGAAAGAGACAGCUGUGGCAGAUUUCACAAACUCAUGCCCAGGGGAGCUCCCGGCUUGCUCAUGGCAAGGACCACACAGGGGCAUCUUAGGGUCCGCGGGAGGCAGCGGAACUGUGGAGUCCCAGGGCACAUUGUCUCCAGCUUCGCCAGCUGGGCCAUUGCUCUCCAACGCCAGCACCCAUGGGUACUUCCUGAUGCACCUCAUCCUACCCACGUUACUGUCAGAGUGAGGAAUGCGCUCAGCCUCAGGCCCUGAGAUUGUCCUCUCCUUACUCAGCUUCUCUUUCUGUCCUUGCAGCAUCCGGUUCGCCUCUUCCCCCAACUGCCUUUUCGCAUCCUCUGCCUUCUCUUCCCUGCAGUUGUCUGUGUCUACAUCAUUGGCAGGAGUUCCUCGUGCACUCUGCAUGCUGAAACCGUGCAGAUGGACACAUGGCAGGGCUUUCCCUCCCGUCUGGCUUGCCUCCUGCCUCUGUUAAAGACAUGACGUGACUCUUCAGCAGCUUUUGAACUUGCCUCUAGGUCACAAAGGGAUUGUCUCAUCGUUUCUACUACAUAUUUUUAAAGUUUUGCUUUUCAUAUGAAUCCUUUUAAUCUGUCCGGAAUCAACUGUGUGCCGUGUGAGGUAGGAAAAUAAAUGGAUAUGUCCUUUUCGU